This 253-nucleotide ribosomal RNA is filed under the name uncultured bacterium. Its description in RNAcentral is "partial 16S ribosomal RNA". It matches the Rfam family "Bacterial small subunit ribosomal RNA", at positions 524 to 776 of the family's 1533-position model. RNAcentral also lists the same sequence under 1 other name. The record is from RNAcentral.
UACGAAGGGGGCUAGCGUUGUUCGGAAUUACUGGGCGUAAAGCGCGCGCAGGCGGUUCUUUAAGUCAGGGGUGAAAGCCCAGAGCUCAACUCUGGAAUUGCCUUUGAAACUAGAGAACUUGGGUACGGGAGAGGUGAGUGGAAUUCCGAGUGUAGAGGUGAAAUUCGUAGAUAUUCGGAAGAACACCAGUGGCGAAGGCGGCUCACUGGCCCGUUACCGACGCUCAGGCGCGACAGCGUGGGGAGCAAACAGG